GGGGCUGGAGAGACGCAGUACUACCAUAUAGAAACGGUGGACGCCGCAUCCAAAGAUUUAAAAUCCCCGGGUGGAAACACCUUGUGGGUUCGACUCCCACCCGCUCUA
RNAcentral lists this transfer RNA (108 nucleotides) under Chloroflexota bacterium. RNAcentral describes it as "Chloroflexi bacterium tRNA-Leu". RNAcentral also lists the same sequence under 1 other name. The record is from RNAcentral. Lineage: Bacteria; Bacillati; Chloroflexota.